UACGUAGGGUGCAAGCGUUAAUCGGAAUUACUGGGCGUAAAGCGUGCGCAGGCGGCUUUGCAAGACAGAUGUGAAAUCCCCGGGCUUAACCUGGGAACUGCAUUUGUGACUGCAGGGCUGGAGUGCGGCAGAGGGGGAUGGAAUUCCGCGUGUAGCAGUGAAAUGCGUAGAUAUGCGGAGGAACACCGAUGGCGAAGGCAAUCCCCUGGGCCUGCACUGACGCUCAUGCACGAAAGCGUGGGGAGCAAACGGG
RNAcentral lists this ribosomal RNA (253 nucleotides) under uncultured bacterium. Its description in RNAcentral is "partial 16S ribosomal RNA". It matches the Rfam family "Bacterial small subunit ribosomal RNA", at positions 524 to 776 of the family's 1533-position model. The record is from RNAcentral.